UUAAAUCCAAUUUCUUGUCCACACCCUUUAUCUCUCUACAGUGUAUACAAUAUUUUUUCCUAUGUGACCGUUUUGAAAAAAGUUAGAGAGAGAAACAGAGAACAACUGAAGAAAAAAAACAACCAAACAACAACAACAACAACAGUCUUAUUCUUAUCCCAUGAUGCCAUUGUUUGCAGAAUCUCAAUCAAGGAAAUUUGUCUACUUGAGAGAACUUUGAAACUUUUCCCCCAUUUGGGUACCCCCAAAGUUGCUUAGUUUUUCUAGAUCCAUCACCUUUUCUGGGCUAUCAAUUGCAUACAAGGAAGAAUAGUAGAAUACAGUACAUCAUCAUCAUCAAAUACAGGUUGUCUCGAUUUUCGGAAAAAUACGAUUUUGAUCCAAACCCAUUUUCCCUUUACUCCAUGACACUUCUCUUGGCACCCCACAAUAUCUUUUUCAAAGUGUUCCAUGACACUUCUCUUGGCACCCCACAAUAUCUUUUUCAAAGUGUUCCAUGACACUUCUCUUGGCACCCCACAAUAUCUUUUUCAAAGUGUUCCAUGACACUUCUCUUGGCACCCCACAAUAUCUUUUUCAAAGUGUUCCAUGACACUUCUCUUGGCACCCCACAAUAUCUUUUUCAAAGUGUUCCAUGACACUUCUCUUGGCACCCCACAAUAUCUUUUUCAAAGUGUUCCAUGACACUUCUCUUGGCACCCCACAAUAUCUUUUUCAAAGUGUUCCAUGACACUUCUCUUGGCACCCCACAAUAUCUUUUUCAAAGUGUUCCAUGACACUUCUCUUGGCACCCCACAAUAUCUUUUUCAAAGUGUUCCAUGACACUUCUCUUGGCACCCCACAAGGUGUAGGAAUUGAACAUGAAGUUUUUUUUUUUUAAUUUCGGACUUUAUUUUAUAAAAAUUCCAUUAGUCUUUGUGGGAAUUGCAUUUAAAUUAAAAUUUUCAGAAUCAUGAAUCACCAAUUGUUUAUCAUUCCUUUUUGGUAUUGACCAAUGUAUUGUCCAUUCUUUAAUGAUAAGCGGUCAGCGCAUUAAGUGAUAAAUAAGUUAGAUAAUGAAUUUUUUUUCCAAUUAUAAAAGUUGAGAUUCAAAUACUCAAUCACUUACUUAAUUACUUACUAUCAUUCUAUUUAUUUAUUAACAUUACUAUCAUUCUAAUUGAACAUAACGAAAACACGACACAAUCGAUCUUUUUUAAAACAGCAUUUAAAUUUUCACGCACUAUUAUGUGAGGAAGGAAAUGUGAGCGCUCAGGCACAUAUCAGAUGAAAAAAUUCAGUCCCCUGUAUGGCUGUGAGAAAUUUCAAAAAACACAUCAUGCCAAUGGACAAAUAUUUACAGUUCACGCACACAUUCAUUCCACAGUUCCAGCCCAACCAACAAUAUGCUCAUUAUUCAGACACCAUUAAUAUUUUCCCUUGUCUCAAAUUAAGAGGAAUAAGGAAAAAUGAAAUUCUUAUGGUAAGUAUAUUUAGCAUGACCAAAUAUAAAAAGAAAGAAAGAUAAAUGAAGUCACGAACCAUUUAAUUUCAACGCCAAAGUUGGGUUGCGACGCUUAGCUGGUCUAGUCACGUACCUUCUCAUGUUUCCUUAAAAAUCCACAAAAUUCAAAUCACAAACCUAGCUCUCAAAAUUCAUCAAAACAUAUGUAGUAUGUGUUUAUAAUAUAUACGAUGUUAGAUCUCAAGUGCACCCUUUCUCUAUUGCAGUAUCAUCAUACAUAGUGCCCCUUCAAUAUAGUAAUGCAAAGUGGAACACUAGUCUUUUAUUGUUGUGCACAGUUUCGAGACUAAUUCCCUCAAAGUUUUGAGAUCACAUCAAGUGAGUAAGUCUCUUAUAACAAAUCAUUCUCAAUACUUACUCUCUAAAGAUCGAUCGAACCCUCGACCAAAUGUUUAAAAAACUCAACUAUUUACCGACUGAGUUUUGUGACUUGUUGGCAAGUUGAUGCGGGUCUACACCAGCAUGAUUCACUGUGCACUCUGCACGUAGCUCAUGGAAUUCAGUGUUAUAUUCAAACUUCCCCUCAUACCCGCGCACUAACCCAAAGCAUACACUCAUUUUAAAUCCAAUUUCUUGUCCACACCCUUUAUCUCUCUACAGUGUAUACAAUAUUUUUUCCUAUGUGACCGUUUUGAAAAAAGUUAGAGAGAGAAACAGAGAACAACUGAAGAAAAAAAACAACCAAACAACAACAACAACAACAGUCUUAUUCUUAUCCCAUGAUGCCAUUGUUUGCAGAAUCUCAAUCAAGGAAAUUUGUCUACUUGAGAGAACUUUGAAACUUUUCCCCCAUUUGGGUACCCCCAAAGUUGCUUAGUUUUUCUAGAUCCAUCACCUUUUCUGGGCUAUCAAUUGCAUACAAGGAAGAAUAGUAGAAUACAGUACAUCAUCAUCAUCAAAUACAGGUUGUCUCGAUUUUCGGAAAAAUACGAUUUUGAUCCAAACCCAUUUUCCCUUUACUCACCUUUACAUGUAUUCUCCAUUGCCCAUCUUCAAUCACGUGGUUUUGG
This 2514-nucleotide long non-coding RNA is filed under the name Lotus japonicus. Its description in RNAcentral is "long non-coding RNA (LJAP_LNC001394)". The record is from RNAcentral. Lineage: Eukaryota; Viridiplantae; Streptophyta; Magnoliopsida; Fabales; Fabaceae.